CCCUCGAUAGCUCAGUUGGAAGAGCGUGGGACUGUAAUGGUUAAUUGUCAUCCCGAGGUCACUGGUUCGAUCCCGGUUUGAGGGA
This is a transfer RNA of Botryobasidium botryosum FD-172 SS1, 85 nucleotides long. It matches the Rfam family "tRNA". From Rfam's summary of the family: Transfer RNA (tRNA) molecules are approximately 80 nucleotides in length. Their secondary structure includes four short double-helical elements and three loops (D, anti-codon, and T loops). NCBI's taxonomy places the organism in Eukaryota, Fungi, Basidiomycota, Agaricomycetes, Cantharellales, Botryobasidiaceae. The record is from Rfam.